Long non-coding RNA from Nicotiana attenuata, 702 nucleotides. RefSeq lists it as uncharacterized. The transcript has 2 exons. NCBI's taxonomy places the organism in Eukaryota, Viridiplantae, Streptophyta, Magnoliopsida, Solanales, Solanaceae. The record is from RefSeq and is a predicted model, not a curated record.
CAAGAAAAAGAACGCCCAAGAGGAGGCUUCAGCUGCGCAGCUUUUGACAGGACCACCCCCACCCCCUCGGAUCAUCUCCUUCAUACCCUCCCUCCCCAGCCUGAAAUUGAUUUUCUUCAACACCCAAAACAGUUCCUCCAUCGAAGACAUAGACACCACCAAACGCCGACCCCUGUAACCUGCGCCGCUGCUCACCCAAACGACCCUUGAACUUCCGGCAUUGUCUCUGUCCAAACGACCUUCACUUCGUCGGACAUCACUCAACCAGACGAGCUCCCUCGUCAAAACAAAUAAAAAAAAAAAAUUCACUCCUUCACUGCCUAUACACACACGCUCAUUCCCUCCUCACUGUCGUCGGAAUACACACUCAAUUCAUCGCCGGAGAUUAUCAAAAAGCACACACGAGAUAGUAGAGGACAAGUUCUGCAAUUUGAAAGUUCCAAAAUAGAUUUGAAAGAGAAAAAGUUUCUGUUACAUGGUGUCGUUUGAGGCCAGUCCGAGGUCCGUUGUCGAAUUUUGUCGCCGAUUCGAGGCUCCGUCUGAGCCACUGUCAGAUUGGAGUUCUUCCGGCGAAACUCGGUCAGUCCAUUGCUUGCCGAGGGUCUAUUCGUGUUCAGCGCAUAGUGCUGUAUUCUUCUUGUAACCCGUUGGAAGAUCGUUACUAUAUUGAAAGGCUUCAAAGGUCCGUUAUUUUCUUCUUUA